RNAcentral lists this long non-coding RNA (328 nucleotides) under Olea europaea subsp. europaea. The record is from RNAcentral. Lineage: Eukaryota; Viridiplantae; Streptophyta; Magnoliopsida; Lamiales; Oleaceae.
CAGUUGUACUCGACAAUUCGUGCACUUGUUUGAAAGACAAGUUCCAAUUUCGGGUGAGCAGGUCAAGCAUGAAGAUGUUAACCGUUGUAUGCACUGACAGCAGCUACAAGUGGAUGUUACGUGCUUCUACUGUGAAGCAGUCUGCAAUCUUUGUGAUCCGUAAAUUCAAUAAUAUUCACACAUGUUCCAUCGAUUGUCGCAGUAAUGCGCAUCGACAUGCGACGAGUUCUGUAAUUGUCGAGCACAUUUUGGAAAAAUUGGAUAAUCCGAACCGAUCGUAUGAUCCGAGCACUAUUGCACGUAACAUGGAACGUGAGCUUGGUGUCCA